RNAcentral lists this transfer RNA (74 nucleotides) under Cyrtodactylus tigroides. RNAcentral's name for it is "tRNA Phe". The record is from RNAcentral. Lineage: Eukaryota; Metazoa; Chordata; Lepidosauria; Squamata; Gekkonidae.
GCUACCGUAGCUUAACCAAAACCAAAGCACGACCCUGAAGUUGCCGUUAUGGAAAGCCCAUUUUCCCGGCAGCA